AUGACUUUAGCUCCUGCCCUUCUCGAUAUGUUAGGCUCUAGGGAGGUUUCACAUCAUGUGGAAGAGUAUGUCAGAAGGUCAGUUCUGUUUACAGCUUCAUGCAUAUUGGUGGCACUUCAUCCCUCUUUUGUAGCAUCUGCUUUGGUUGAAGGCAAUACUGACAUAUCUAAAGGACUUGAAUGGAUACACACAUGGGCCCUGCAUGUUGUUGAAUCAUAGACGGAUACUGAAUGCUCAAUAAUGGCACUGACAUGUCUCCGACUCCAUAUACUGAGAUGGCUCUCCAAGCUUCUCGAGUGCUUGAAUUCACAGACAAAACAUUCAAGGCAAAAGGCACUGAUGUCUCAACUAAUCUUUUGAAGGGGGAAAUCAAGAUACCCUACUCAAACAUGGGAUAUCAAAUUUGAAGCUCUGGUAUAGUUAUGCAUGCAUUCUAAAGCAUUGCAUUUAACUUCCCUUUUUUUCCCUUGUUCUUUCGUAAUUGUGGGUCUGGCCGUGCCUUU
Long non-coding RNA from Telopea speciosissima, 503 nucleotides. RefSeq lists it as uncharacterized. NCBI's taxonomy places the organism in Eukaryota, Viridiplantae, Streptophyta, Magnoliopsida, Proteales, Proteaceae. The record is from RefSeq and is a predicted model, not a curated record. The transcript has 3 exons.